UCCACAUUCACAUACAAUACACAUUAGCUAGAUUUUCCAUUUUUAGAAUAUUCCUCCACUCACUUUUAAUCUUUUUGCUAAAUUUCUUCCCAAGAAAUAGGACAUCCGUACACUUUUUGAUAUUUUUAUCCACAUGGACCUUCCAGUAAACAUCCCCAUACCGCACCCUCUUGAAUUAUCAUAUUCACUUUAUAUAUAACACAUAUCAGAAGAUAGAGGAGGAUUCCACUCGAAGCACAAAAAAGAAAUUGGAGAAAAAACCUAGAGCUCUAGAGCAAAAGCUGCGCAUCCUUCCCUUGGCUUUAGCCAUUAACAGAGCUUUUCUUCCACCAUCCAAGGAUCUCUGUUUUCCUCCAUUAAAAUGCACCAGAUUCCUCUCAAAAGACCACCAUUUUUAGAGCCAAAACCCAGCUGAUUUCCCCCCAUGAAACAACCACAAUUACCCAACGAAAAUCAGCCAAAAAUCUGCCGAAACAGUGCCCAUAAAUCGCAGCUUAAACCAGCCAAUAACCACCCCAAAAUAACCCCAAAACGCAGCUGAAAUCUGCUGCAAUCAGCUGCCAAAUCCAGCCAAAUAAAGCUCCAACAACUCACUGAAAACCAGCUCCAAAAAACAACCCGUUUGAGUUCGAGUUUGUCGAGGUCAUGUUGAGGUCGUCGGAUCGAGUUUUGUUUGCAUCUUUAUGUUGUUGCUGGAUUUCAUUUUGCUCGAUGAUUGACUAUUGUUUAUGUAAAAGCUUGGUUUGAAGGUCCAUUGGAUAUACACAAGAAAAUAGAUUUCAUAGAGGUCCAUUCCUUUUCCUCUAUUCUGAUUCAAAUCCAUAUUAUGCUUUGCUUUGAAUGUUGAUGUCUUGUGUGUGAUUUAUUAUCUUUGUUUAACGUAUGGUUCGUGUUUGUCUAUUGUUUAAUUUGGGUAAUAGUUUGCAGUUUUUAAAUUGAUUUAUAUGUUUAAUUAGAUUUAAAGGUUGUUCAGGAUGUAGGGAUUAUUUUUGAAAACAUAAAACAGGGUGUCUGUUGGUUUAAGCAUUUAAGAAACAAUUGGGCUUAGAUGAGUGGAAUUUUACCGGCCCAUUUCAUAAGAUAGCUGCUCCACUUUUUGAAGACACAUAGCAUACCCCUUCUUUAGUUACUACUUCGACCAAAUACCAAUAAUAAAGUUAGCCCACUUCUCCCAUAACUUCAUAUCAAUAACCUAUGGCCUUCACGAUAAUUUCAAUGUUUAGGAAGAGUAAUGAAUAUUCGUAGAAAUGCUUUAGGCAUGACUUAAUCUAUCAUCAUCAUGAUUGUGUACACGUUCACGUGACAUAAUUAUGAUUUUUUCAAAAUAAAUCAAGGUACGCGUUCGCGCGACUUCGACCAAGCUUUUUUUUUUUCUUAAAUAAUUAGGUGUUGUGAAUUGUGUACACGUACGCGUGACAUGAUUCUUGACGUAUUAAACGAAAUGAGUAUAAGUACCCAUAACUCGUCUUAAGAUAAUUCUGUAUUAAGUGAUUAGUAGCGGUAAAAGGUAAAAUAAACAUAGGUCCUAAAAUGAGUAAUUAGAUAAAAUAAGCCAAGUAUAAAUUGCUAAGCGACCGUGCUAAAACUACAAAAUUCGGGAAUGCCUAACACCUUUUCCCGGGUUAACAGAAUUCCUUACCUAGUUUUCUGGUUUCGCAAACUUUGAACGAAGUCAAAUUUUUCUCGAUUUGGGAUUUAAAAUAAACCGGUGACUUGGGACACCAUAAAAUUAUCCCAAGUGGCGACUCUAAAAUAAAUAAAUAAUCCCAUUUUUAUUAUUGUCACUUUAAAUGGAAAAACUCUCUAUCCUUAUAUCUCCUCGGGAAAAAGGAGGUGUGACAGCUCUAGCGACUCUGCUGGGGAAAGAACUCCGAACUUCUGGUUCAGGGUUCAAGAAUUCAAGCUUGUUAAAUGUGAUUUUUACUUGGCUUUAUUAAUUGUUGAUAUUACCGUAUUUUUGGGCCUAAUGAGCUAAUUGCCGCUUAUUUACUGCUUUGAUAUUAUUUGAACUGUGUUAAAAUGUCUUCUUACGCCUCCCUUUUGAGUCUUCUAAAAAAAUGGUACACACGUUCGCGUGACUCGCUUUUUUGUUAGAGGUCCUUUUUAAAAAUUAAGAGUCAACAUCCAAAAUUCAAAAAUAUUUUCUUUCUUAUUUAGAAAAAGAGAAAACAAAUGAAAAUUCAAAUAGAAAUAUUUUUCUUUUUACUUUUGAGAUUCCCAAAGUUCAAAUCAAAUGAAAAGAAAUUUUUAGAAGUCUUUCUUUAAAAAAAAUAAUGAAAAUCCAAAUUCCAAAAUAUUUUCCUUGUUAGAAGCUUUUGAGGUAUGAUUUGCCUCUUGAAAAAUAUUGAAUAAAUUAGAAAAAAAAAAGAAAGAAAAAGUUCGCUUAUUUAUCGUGUUCUUAGUAUUCCUGAACUAUGUAAUGAUCUGAUUCAUGCGACAUCGUGAUACGUAGGCAAUCUCCAUCAGAUUCGAUCAUAGCCAUAAAAUUAAUUGAAUGAAAAAUAAACUGAAAAAAAAGAGAAAGAAAAAAUUGAAAAAAAAGAAGAGUGAAAAAAAUAAAAAGAUAAAAAGAGCGACAAAAAAAAGAGUGGCAAAAAAAUAAAAAAAAGGAAAUGAAUAAUAAAAGAGCGAUAGAAACAAGAUGCGAAAAUCAAGAGUGGUUAAAGAGAGACAGAAAUAAAAGAAAAGAGGUACAUACUGAAAGGGUUAGUUAUGACCAGGAUGAAACAUGUAACCGUUCAAACACAUGGUAAAAGCGUUAAACUGUUAGGUGCAUUGCAUCCCAACGUGUGAUUUCCUAUAUGUUAAAUGUCUCAAUUGUGGUGUGAGAAAAUUAGCCAAGAUUUGUUCAGGUGGUCAGUUUUGUUGGUAUGUGGUGAUGAACGUGUAACCUUGCACGUGGCCACAACAUUAUACACAAAAUCGAGUUCCACCUCCCAGAAAUGCCCAUCCUUAUCAAGUUCCAUAUAAUCCCCAAUCAAAUAUUCCCCAAUACAAUCCUCGCCAAGAGAGCCUUUCAAAAAGAAUCAGUUCACCCCUAUUGGUGAAUAAUACUCGAGCUUGUUCCAAAUGCUAGUUAAGCGAGGCCUGCUGCAGCCAGUGGCCCCAAACCGGCCAAACCCCGACUCCCCCUCGCACCGAGCUGAUGCUAGAUGUUAAUACCACCCUGGAGCAGUAAGACACAGUACAGAGGGCUGUUGGACCCUCAAAAGGGCAGUUGAAGACUUGAUUGAAGCUGAAAGAAUCGUUCUUCAGGAUGAAGAGGCUCCUGAUGUGACAAACAAUUCGUUGCUUACUCAUAACACCGGGCCAAUAGUCGAAAUGAUUUGUGGAAAUGAGGAAUUUGAUCCGGCACUGAAGGCCAUCACAGCCAUCCAUUACUAAAAAAAUCAGGUUUUAACAACAGACAAAUUUGUAGCUAAACAGAAAAAUCCGUCGCUAAUCUCAUUUAGCAAUGGAUUAGCAAUAGAUUAUCAAGAAAUUUUGCUAGCUACGAGCAUUUUAGCGACAGAUUAGUGACGACGUUCGUAGCUAAUUUUAAUUUUUUUUCAGUGUUUGCCGAGGCAGAAGAAAAGCCAAAAAACGGUCGCCAAGCCUGAAAAUACCCCAUUAGACGGGAGUCUCGGUAGCUAGUCUUGCUAUCCUUUCUGCGUCCAGAUUAUCUUAGGGUGUGAUCCAGAUAUUUUACUUUAUUAUUGUCUUACUUUCCGAUGUAAACACUUCUAUCUUUAAAAUUAAAAAAAAAUCAAAACAAAAAUAAAAAUAAAAUAAAAAAAUUAUUUCAUUACCCAGGAAUGUCUCUUUUCUUAUUAUCACUUUCCUUAUUCUCUUUUUCGUUAUGUUAAAUGCAGAUUUCAAUAAUAUGACAUGCUUGCAGAUUUCAUGCCCAGAUCCUAAAACGCUGUCAGAC
RNAcentral lists this long non-coding RNA (3910 nucleotides) under Nicotiana tabacum (common tobacco). RNAcentral's name for it is "long non-coding RNA (NTAB_LNC006610)". The record is from RNAcentral. Lineage: Eukaryota; Viridiplantae; Streptophyta; Magnoliopsida; Solanales; Solanaceae.